Molecule: ribosomal RNA, 413 nt
Filed under: Alexandrium margalefii
Lineage: Eukaryota; Dinophyceae; Gonyaulacales; Pyrocystaceae
Description: partial Bacterial large subunit ribosomal RNA
Rfam family: Bacterial large subunit ribosomal RNA
Source: RNAcentral
GUCAAGUGAAUAAGCGUACGUGGUGGAUGCCUUGGCAGCUAGAGGCGAUGAAGGACGUUGUAGACUGCGAUAAGCGUCGGGGAGAGGUCAAACACUCUUUGAUCCGGCGAUUUCCGAAUGGGGAAACCCACCUCUUUUUGAGGUAUCGGCUACUGAAUACAUAGGUAGUCGAGGCGAACGCGGAGAACUGAAACAUCUAAGUACCCGCAGGAAAAGAAAUCAAUUGAGAUUCCCCCAGUAGCGGCGAGCGACCGGGGAUUAGCCCUUAAGUUACAGCAGGUUUAGCAGAACGCUCUGGAAAGUGCGGCGAUAGAGGGUGAUAGCCCCGUAUGCGAAAGGCCUGUUGUGAUGAAAUCGAGUAGGUCGGGACACGUGAAAUCCUGACUGAAUAUGGGGGGACCAUCCUCCAAGGC